UAAUUAUUCAUUGGCUUGAUGCGU
Molecule: non-coding RNA, 24 nt
Filed under: Arabidopsis thaliana (thale cress)
Lineage: Eukaryota; Viridiplantae; Streptophyta; Magnoliopsida; Brassicales; Brassicaceae
Source: RNAcentral